AUUGAACGCUGGCGGCAGGCCUAACACAUGCAAGUCGAGCGGAUGAAGGGGGCUUGCUCCUGGAUUCAGCGGCGGACGGGUGAGUAAUGCCUAGGAAUCUGCCUGGUAGUGGGGGAUAACGUCCGCAAACGGGCGCUAAUACCGCAUACGUCCUGAGGGAGAAAGUGGGGGAUCUUCGGACCUCACGCUAUCAGAUGAGCCUAGGUCGGAUUAGCUAGUUGGUGGGGUAAAGGCCUACCAAGGCGACGAUCCGUAACUGGUCUGAGAGGAUGAUCAGUCACACUGGAACUGAGACACGGUCCAGACUCCUACGGGAGGCAGCAGUGGGGAAUAUUGGACAAUGGGCGAAAGCCUGAUCCAGCCAUGCCGCGUGUGUGAAGAAGGUCUUCGGAUUGUAAAGCACUUUAAGUUGGGAGGAAGGGCAGUAAGUUAAUACCUUGCUGUUUUGACGUUACCAACAGAAUAAGCACCGGCUAACUUCGUG
RNAcentral lists this ribosomal RNA (484 nucleotides) under uncultured bacterium. RNAcentral describes it as "partial 16S ribosomal RNA". It matches the Rfam family "Bacterial small subunit ribosomal RNA", at positions 30 to 507 of the family's 1533-position model. The record is from RNAcentral.